Molecule: long non-coding RNA, 1516 nt
Organism: Pieris rapae (cabbage white)
Lineage: Eukaryota; Metazoa; Arthropoda; Insecta; Lepidoptera; Pieridae
Exons: 2
Source: RefSeq, a predicted model, not a curated record
AUUCCGAAUAAUAAUUAAAAAUUGUAUAAUGUAUUUUUGUAAAAUUGUAUGACUGUUAUAAGUAUAAUUCUGAAUAAUAAAAAUAAUUAAACGAAUAAACAAACAUUAUCAGAUUUUCCACGGCCCAGAGUUGCCCAACGUCCGGGAGUAGGCUAUUAGGUGCAUUAAAAAAAAAACCUAGCCAGGUUUUACAUAUUAGUACACAAUAGUAUAUUUUGACCGUUUUAACGGAAACUUUUGUUAGUUAUUAAAUAGUUAUAAUUUUUAUUUUACCCUUCUUGGUUUCUUAUAUGUUUGCGUAAAGUUUAAUGUUUUAAACUAGAGUUUAUAAGUUUGAACUUUGUUUUAGAUUUUUGUUAAUAUUUUUAAAAAUUACAAAGAAAAUAUGAAGAAUAACAGCAUAUUAGUAUAGAUAAAUGUUUAUUUAUUUUCCUUUAAGCUAUAGUUUCUGAAAUUUGAACAUUUUAGUAGUAUUGGGGGCACCCUUUUAUUAACAAUUACAUGAUAUUAUGUAAGUUUUUAAAAUUAGGCUUUUAUUUGAAAAAUAAAUUACAACUUGUCAGUAAAUAUUAACGAUACUUGUUUGUUGUAACCUUUAUACCAUCUAGGUGUAUUGUUUGUAAUCAUAAAGUAAACUUAUAUGUAGUACAUUUUAAUUUGUUUUUUUCUAUUUUUAAUCUUAUGACCUGGUAACUUAGACUUUUAAGUCAUAACUUAUUUGGAAAAUGUUCCCGUUGCCUUUCCCACUAGAGAUAAAUUGAAGAAAAAAAAAUGGAAAAUGUUCAGUAUUUUGGAGUUUGGACUGAAGUGGAUCACUAAAUUUAGUCACUUAAAUUUUUUGAACUGUAUCUUUUAUGUAAUUAUAAAUAGGUUUGUAGGAUAUUGGAUCUUUUAGUAAAACCUUGAGUGGCUGCGGGCGGGAGGAAGAAACACACUUAUAUGCAUUGGUCACACUAAGGUCACUAGCCAGCACAAGUCUGAAUUGAAUAUGGGUCUUUGGCAAUCGAAUAUAAUAUGGUGGAUUGUUCCUUCUGCUUGACAGUGAUUACAUUUAUUGUUUAAAACAAUCCCAAGUCUUGCUAGGUGUGACGGAGCAGUAUUAUGACCAAAUCUCAAUCUGUUUAUUGUUGUAAUGUAAUCUCGACUUUCAUUCGUUUUCAAUUUGUCAUACCAUGGUUUAAUAGCCCAAAAAAUUGUUUAAUAUUACACUUUGGUGGAGAUACAAUCAGCAACCUUAGAAGUGCCAAUGAUUUAUUUUCUUGGCAUCAAGUGAGAAGUUUGCAGUACACAUAAAUAUAUCUAAAACUGAGGUUAUGGUCAUGGAUAGAUCAGGAAGACUGCCACAGGAACUUAAAAAUCGGAGAAUAGGGCAAGUUUAUAUAACCUGGUUUCCAGAUAAGCAGUCAAAGAGGAAGAGAAAACGAAACCCAAAGAAGAACCCAGGUGACCAAUGCUGCAAAACAAAACUGUUGUGUUUGCAGUCUUGGAGUUCGUAAUAAACGACGUUUUAUAUAUA